Mesocricetus auratus (golden hamster) is the source of this 1708-nucleotide long non-coding RNA. RefSeq lists it as uncharacterized. The record is from RefSeq and is a predicted model, not a curated record. Lineage: Eukaryota; Metazoa; Chordata; Mammalia; Rodentia; Cricetidae. The transcript is spliced from 4 exons.
CCGCAAUCACCGCUCGGGCCAGGGAGCGGACAAUGCCGGCGGCCAAUGGAAGCGAGGGGGCGUGUCGGGGGCGUGUCUUCAGCUCCAGACAAGAGCACAGACCCCGCGAGGGGAGGGGGCGAGACUCGUCGGAGCGAAAGCUCCGGGGACCGGGUGACCACGCUCCGGAUCCCGGCGUGGGCGCGUGUGGCCUGGAGAGACCCUGGAGGAAGGUAUCCUAAGGAGGCCAGAAGAGAGCACUGGAUCCCCUGGAAUUGGAGUCACAGACGGUUAUAAGCUGCCAGUUUCAACUCUGCCAUGGAUUGCCUCGUGUUGUGGUGGACGAGUGCAUCAAAUGUAUCCAAUAGUGGAGAUGUGAAAUCCAAUGUGAAGCUCCACGGCUGCAGGCUGGCUGUCCAGACGCUUUGGAAGUUCACGGAGGUAAGAAAGAACCGGGUCCCUGGAGAAAUGAGUGCCAGGCAAGCAUUAGUAUUUCAUUUUUAACUCUUGAAUGUGGACCACAGAGAAAUGACACGAACGCAGAGGAUGUUAAAUUGCAUCAAAGAGCCUGUACGUCACCAAGAUCUCAUUCACUUGAAGGGCACUCGACGCCUCAGACAGAAUUCUGUAACCUAAGAAGAAUUCUCCAGAAAGGUACUGUAUGAAACGCAACUUGUGGUAUGUCGUGUCUGUAAUCUUUGCCAAGGGAGGCUGAGGCAGGAGGAUCAAGAGUUGAAGGUCAUUCUUGGCUACCUAGCAAGUUUGAGGCCAGCUUCGACUACAUGAGACCCUGACUCAGAAGAACAAUGUUUGUGAGCAUAGCCUGGGUUACACAGUGAGACUCUGUCUCCAAAAACUAAAAACCAGCCAAGACUUGUAAUCAUUUGCCAUAUUUUCUGUAGCCCCGAGCAUCUUGGGCUGUUGUGAGCCAAGUUUGGAAAUUCAAGUAGAAAUCAGUACAGAAAGGUUUUGAACACACUGACAGACAUCUAAGCCCGCGCAGCCUUCCUAACGCUGUGACACCCCCACCCCCAUGUAAUACAAAUACAGUUCCUCUUGUAGUGGUGACACCAUACAAUUAUUCUCGUUGCUACUUCAUAACUGUGAUUUUGCUAUUGUUAUGAAUCCUAGUGCAAAUACCUGUGUUUUCUAAUGGUCUUAGGCAACGCCUGUGAAAGGAUCUUUGACUCUCAAAGGGAUCUCGACUCACGGGUUGAGAACUGCUGCUCUGCAGGGUUGAACUGCCAAAAUCAGAAUUUGGUACAAAAUUCAAAAUGACAAGGGUAACAAUGAUCUCUGAGGCUGCAGAGGCAGUGCCACAGUUAAGGGCUCUUACUGCUCUUGCUGAGGACCUGAGUUCAGGUCCCAGCACCCCUGUCAGGUGGUUCAGAACCACUUGUAACUCCAGCUGCAGAGAUCCCAGGCUUCUGAUUUGUGUGAGCUCCUGCACACAUGUGUAUAUAACCACACAGACAAAGCAGGGUCUCGCUGGGCACCCUUGGCUGGCCUGAAACUAACAGAGAUUCACCCGCCUCUGCCAGGAAGAAUCCUCCCCACCUCCCAGGCUCUCUCUAUGUAGUCAUGGCUGCCCUGGAACUCACUCUGUAGACCAGGCUGGCCUCGAACUCAUAGAGAUCCGCCUGCCUCUGCCUCCCAAGUGGUGGAAUAAAAGAUGCGUGCCACCAUGCCCUGUAGUAAAUCUUUGUUUAUAAAAGCCACCUCUCUCCAA